Non-coding RNA from Vicugna pacos (alpaca), 99 nucleotides. NCBI's taxonomy places the organism in Eukaryota, Metazoa, Chordata, Mammalia, Artiodactyla, Camelidae. The record is from RefSeq and is a predicted model, not a curated record.
UUCUUUGACACUAGACCAAAACUCGAAAUUAAUAGUUUCUUAAAAGUUAAUUGUCAGGGGAGCGUAUAGCUCACUGGUAGAGUGUUCAGAUUGGAAGAG